This 489-nucleotide ribosomal RNA is filed under the name uncultured bacterium. RNAcentral describes it as "bacterial SSU rRNA". It matches the Rfam family "Bacterial small subunit ribosomal RNA", at positions 28 to 507 of the family's 1533-position model. The record is from RNAcentral.
GAUGAACGCUAGCGGGAGGCUUAACACAUGCAAGUCGAGGGGCAGCAUAGGGUAGCAAUACUCUGAUGGCGACCGGCAAACGGGUGAGUAACGCGUAUGCAACCUACCCUGUACAGGGGGAUAACCCGGAGAAAUUCGGACUAAUAUCCCGUAAUAAUAUCCGGAGGCAUCUUUGGAUAUUUAAAGUUUCGACGGUACGGGAUGGGCAUGCGUAACAUUAGCUGGUUGGUAAGGUAACGGCUUACCAAGGCUAUGAUGUUUAGGGGUCCUGAGAGGGUGGUCCCCCACACUGGUACUGAGACACGGACCAGACUCCUACGGGAGGCAGCAGUGAGGAAUAUUGGUCAAUGGGCGCAAGCCUGACCAAAAGCCAUCCCGCGUGCAGGAAGACGGCCCUAUGGGUUGUAAACUGCUUUUCCAGGGAGAGAAACUUACGCACGUGUUGCGUGACUGACGGUACCCUGGGAAUAAGCAUCGGCUAACUCCGUG